AUUGAACGCUGGCGGCAUGCCUUACACAUGCAAGUCGAACGGUAACAGGUCUUCGGAUGCUGACGAGUGGCGAACGGGUGAGUAAUACAUCGGAACGUGCCUAGUAGUGGGGGAUAACUACUCGAAAGAGUGGCUAAUACCGCAUGAGAUCUACGGAGGAAAGCAGGGGAUCGCAAGACCUUGUGCUACUAGAGCGGCCGAUGGCAGAUUAGGUAGUUGGUGGGAUAAAAGCUUACCAAGCCGACGAUCUGUAGCUGGUCUGAGAGGACGAUCAGCCACACUGGGACUGAGACACGGCCCAGACUCCUACGGGAGGCAGCAGUGGGGAAUCUUGGACAAUGGGCGCAAGCCUGAUCCAGCAAUGCCGCGUGCAGGAUGAAGGCCUUCGGGUUGUAAACUGCUUUUGUACGGAACGAAAAGCCCCGGGUUAAUACCCUGGGGUCAUGACGGUACCGUAAGAAUAAGCACCGGCUAACUACGUGCCAGCCGCCGCCGUAA
Molecule: ribosomal RNA, 498 nt
Filed under: uncultured bacterium
Lineage: Bacteria
Description: partial 16S ribosomal RNA
Rfam family: Bacterial small subunit ribosomal RNA
Source: RNAcentral